RNAcentral lists this ribosomal RNA (411 nucleotides) under Veillonellaceae bacterium oral taxon B19. RNAcentral describes it as "bacterial SSU rRNA". It matches the Rfam family "Bacterial small subunit ribosomal RNA", at positions 28 to 425 of the family's 1533-position model. The record is from RNAcentral. Lineage: Bacteria; Bacillati; Bacillota; Negativicutes; Veillonellales; Veillonellaceae.
GACGAACGCUGGCGGCGUGCUUAACACAUGCAAGUCGAACGGAGCUGUUUAUUUCGGUAGAUAGCUUAGUGGCAAACGGGUGAGUAACGCGUAGGCAACCUGCCCUUAGGAUGGGGACAACGGCCCGAAAGGACCGCUAAUACCGAAUGCACUCUAACUUCCGCAUGGAAGAAAGAGGAAAGAUGGUGCAAGCCAUCGCCGAAGGAAGGGCCUGCGUCUGAUUAACCAGUUGGUGAGGUAACGGCUCACCAAAGCGACGAUCAGUAGCCGGUCUGAGAGGAUGAACGGCCACAAUGGGACUGAGACACGGCCCAUACUCCUACGGGAGGCAGCAGUGGGGAAUCUUCCCGCAAUGGGCGAAAAGCCUGACGGAGCAAACGCCGCGUGAGUGAAGAAGGUUCUUUCGGAUUG